RNAcentral lists this transfer RNA (65 nucleotides) under Dipodomys ordii (Ord's kangaroo rat). It matches the Rfam family "tRNA". Rfam says of the family: Transfer RNA (tRNA) molecules are approximately 80 nucleotides in length. Their secondary structure includes four short double-helical elements and three loops (D, anti-codon, and T loops). Lineage: Eukaryota; Metazoa; Chordata; Mammalia; Rodentia; Heteromyidae. The record is from Rfam by way of RNAcentral.
GGUGGCUCAGUGGUAGAGUGCUUGCUUUGCACGCAUGAGGCCAUGGGUUCGAUUCCUCAGCACCA